UGAGGAAUAUUGGUCAAUGGACGCAAGUCUGAACCAGCCAAGUAGCGUGCAGGAUGACGGCCCUAUGGGUUGUAAACUGCUUUUAUAUGGGGAUAAAGUGGGGAACGUGUUCCCUUUUGCAGGUACCAUAUGAAUAAGGACCGGCUAAUUCCGUGCCAGCAGCCGCGGUAAUACGGAAGGUUCGGGCGUUAUCCGGAUUUAUUGGGUUUAAAGGGAGCGUAGGCCGUUUGGUAAGCGUGUUGUGAAAUGUAGGAGCUCAACUUCUAGAUUGCAGCGCGAACUGUCAGAUUUGAGUGCGCACAACGUAGGCGGAAUUCAUGGUGUAGCGGUGAAAUGCUUAGAUAUCAUGAAGAACUCCGAUUGCGAAGGCAGCUUACGGGAGCGCAACUGACGCUGAAGCUCGAAGGUGCGGGUAUCGAACAGG
Molecule: ribosomal RNA, 424 nt
Filed under: Verrucomicrobiota bacterium
Lineage: Bacteria; Pseudomonadati; Verrucomicrobiota
Description: Verrucomicrobia bacterium partial 16S ribosomal RNA
Rfam family: Bacterial small subunit ribosomal RNA
Source: RNAcentral